RNAcentral lists this long non-coding RNA (603 nucleotides) under Salmo salar (Atlantic salmon). Its description in RNAcentral is "lncRNA (ENSSSAG00000082110.1)". The record is from RNAcentral. Lineage: Eukaryota; Metazoa; Chordata; Actinopteri; Salmoniformes; Salmonidae.
UAAAGAGGUAUGGGACUGUAGGUGGAGGUAUAGAGGUAUGGGACUGUAGGUGGAGGUAUAGAGGUAUGGGACUGCAGGUAGAGGUAUAGAGGUAUGGGACUGUAGGUGGAGGUAUAGAGGUAUGGGACUGCAGGUGGAGGUAUAGAGGUAUGGGACUGUAGGUGGAGGUAAAGAGGUAUGGGACUGUAAGUGGAGGUAUAGAGGUAUGGGACUGUAGGUGGAGGUAUAGAGGUAUGGGACUGCAGGUGGAGGUAUAGAGGUAUGGGACUGCAGGUAGAGGUAUAGAGGUAUGGGACUGUAGGUGGAGGUAUAGAGGUAUGGGACUGCAGGUGGAGGUAUAGAGGUAUGGGACUGUAGGUGGAGGUAUAGAGGUAUGGGACUGUAGGUGGUGGUAUGGGACUGUAGGUGGAGGUAUGGACUGUAGGUGGAGGUAUGGGACUGUAGGUGGAGGUAUAGAGGUAUGGGACUGUAGGUGGAGGUAUAGAGGUAUGGGACUGUAGGUGGAGGUAUAGAGGUAUGGGACUAGAGGUGGAGGUAUAGAGGUAUGGGACUGCAGGUGGAGGUAUAGAGGUAUGGGACUGUUAUUGGAGGUAUAGAGGUAUG